RNAcentral lists this ribosomal RNA (2920 nucleotides) under Staphylococcus aureus. RNAcentral describes it as "bacterial LSU rRNA". It matches the Rfam family "Bacterial large subunit ribosomal RNA". The record is from RNAcentral. Lineage: Bacteria; Bacillati; Bacillota; Bacilli; Caryophanales; Staphylococcaceae.
UUAAGUUAUUAAGGGCGCACGGUGGAUGCCUUGGCACUAGAAGCCAAUGAAGGACGUUACUAACGACGAUAUGCUUUGGGGAGCUGUAAGUAAGCUUUGAUCCAGAGAUUUCCGAAUGGGGAAACCCAGCAUGAGUUAUGUCAUGUUAUCGAUAUGUGAAUACAUAGCAUAUCAGAAGGCACACCCGGAGAACUGAAACAUCUUAGUACCCGGAGGAAGAGAAAGAAAAUUCGAUUCCCUUAGUAGCGGCGAGCGAAACGGGAAGAGCCCAAACCAACAAGCUUGCUUGUUGGGGUUGUAGGACACUCUAUACGGAGUUACAAAGGACGACAUUAGACGAAUCAUCUGGAAAGAUGAAUCAAAGAAGGUAAUAAUCCUGUAGUCGAAAAUGUUGUCUCUCUUGAGUGGAUCCUGAGUACGACGGAGCACGUGAAAUUCCGUCGGAAUCUGGGAGGACCAUCUCCUAAGGCUAAAUACUCUCUAGUGACCGAUAGUGAACCAGUACCGUGAGGGAAAGGUGAAAAGCACCCCGGAAGGGGAGUGAAAUAGAACCUGAAACCGUGUGCUUACAAGUAGUCAGAGCCCGUUAAUGGGUGAUGGCGUGCCUUUUGUAGAAUGAACCGGCGAGUUACGAUUUGAUGCAAGGUUAAGCAGUAAAUGUGGAGCCGUAGCGAAAGCGAGUCUGAAUAGGGCGUUUAGUAUUUGGCCGUAGACCCGAAACCAGGUGAUCUACCCUUGGUCAGGUUGAAGUUCAGGUAACACUGAAUGGAGGACCGAACCGACUUACGUUGAAAAGUGAGCGGAUGAACUGAGGGUAGCGGAGAAAUUCCAAUCGAACCUGGAGAUAGCUGGUUCUCUCCGAAAUAGCUUUAGGGCUAGCCUCAAGUGAUGAUUAUUGGAGGUAGAGCACUGUUUGGACGAGGGGCCCUCUCGGGUUACCGAAUUCAGACAAACUCCGAAUGCCAAUUAAUUUAACUUGGGAGUCAGAACAUGGGUGAUAAGGUCCGUGUUCGAAAGGGAAACAGCCCAGACCACCAGCUAAGGUCCCAAAAUAUAUGUUAAGUGGAAAAGGAUGUGGCGUUGCCCAGACAACUAGGAUGUUGGCUUAGAAGCAGCCAUCAUUUAAAGAGUGCGUAAUAGCUCACUAGUCGAGUGACACUGCGCCGAAAAUGUACCGGGGCUAAACAUAUUACCGAAGCUGUGGAUUGUCCUUUGGACAAUGGUAGGAGAGCGUUCUAAGGGCGUUGAAGCAUGAUCGUAAGGACAUGUGGAGCGCUUAGAAGUGAGAAUGCCGGUGUGAGUAGCGAAAGACGGGUGAGAAUCCCGUCCACCGAUUGACUAAGGUUUCCAGAGGAAGGCUCGUCCGCUCUGGGUUAGUCGGGUCCUAAGCUGAGGCCGACAGGCGUAGGCGAUGGAUAACAGGUUGAUAUUCCUGUACCACCUAUAAUCGUUUUAAUCGAUGGGGGGACGCAGUAGGAUAGGCGAAGCGUGCGAUUGGAUUGCACGUCUAAGCAGUAAGGCUGAGUAUUAGGCAAAUCCGGUACUCGUUAAGGCUGAGCUGUGAUGGGGAGAAGACAUUGUGUCUUCGAGUCGUUGAUUUCACACUGCCGAGAAAAGCCUCUAGAUAGAAAAUAGGUGCCCGUACCGCAAACCGACACAGGUAGUCAAGAUGAGAAUUCUAAGGUGAGCGAGCGAACUCUCGUUAAGGAACUCGGCAAAAUGACCCCGUAACUUCGGGAGAAGGGGUGCUCUUUAGGGUUAACGCCCAGAAGAGCCGCAGUGAAUAGGCCCAAGCGACUGUUUAUCAAAAACACAGGUCUCUGCUAAACCGUAAGGUGAUGUAUAGGGGCUGACGCCUGCCCGGUGCUGGAAGGUUAAGAGGAGUGGUUAGCUUCUGCGAAGCUACGAAUCGAAGCCCCAGUAAACGGCGGCCGUAACUAUAACGGUCCUAAGGUAGCGAAAUUCCUUGUCGGGUAAGUUCCGACCCGCACGAAAGGCGUAACGAUUUGGGCACUGUCUCAACGAGAGACUCGGUGAAAUCAUAGUACCUGUGAAGAUGCAGGUUACCCGCGACAGGACGGAAAGACCCCGUGGAGCUUUACUGUAGCCUGAUAUUGAAAUUCGGCACAGCUUGUACAGGAUAGGUAGGAGCCUUUGAAACGUGAGCGCUAGCUUACGUGGAGGCGCUGGUGGGAUACUACCCUAGCUGUGUUGGCUUUCUAACCCGCACCACUUAUCGUGGUGGGAGACAGUGUCAGGCGGGCAGUUUGACUGGGGCGGUCGCCUCCUAAAAGGUAACGGAGGCGCUCAAAGGUUCCCUCAGAAUGGUUGGAAAUCAUUCAUAGAGUGUAAAGGCAUAAGGGAGCUUGACUGCGAGACCUACAAGUCGAGCAGGGUCGAAAGACGGACUUAGUGAUCCGGUGGUUCCGCAUGGAAGGGCCAUCGCUCAACGGAUAAAAGCUACCCCGGGGAUAACAGGCUUAUCUCCCCCAAGAGUUCACAUCGACGGGGAGGUUUGGCACCUCGAUGUCGGCUCAUCGCAUCCUGGGGCUGUAGUCGGUCCCAAGGGUUGGGCUGUUCGCCCAUUAAAGCGGUACGCGAGCUGGGUUCAGAACGUCGUGAGACAGUUCGGUCCCUAUCCGUCGUGGGCGUAGGAAAUUUGAGAGGAGCUGUCCUUAGUACGAGAGGACCGGGAUGGACAUACCUCUGGUGUACCAGUUGUCGUGCCAACGGCAUAGCUGGGUAGCUAUGUGUGGACGGGAUAAGUGCUGAAAGCAUCUAAGCAUGAAGCCCCCCUCAAGAUGAGAUUUCCCAACUUCGGUUAUAAGAUCCCUCAAAGAUGAUGAGGUUAAUAGGUUCGAGGUGGAAGCAUGGUGACAUGUGGAGCUGACGAAUACUAAUCGAUCGAAGACUUAAUCAA